CUGCUGCCACCGUGUUCCACUGCCGUUACCGUCACCGGUGUUUUUGCUCGCGAUUGUCACUUGGGGUUACUGACGGAGCCACUGCCGGGUUGAUAGGGAGCUGCGACUGCUUCGUUUUGUGAUUUCAGAGUUAGAAUCCGGUUUGCUUAUGCCGCUUGUAGCUGUUUCUGCUUUUGAGAGAGCAAGCAGAGCCAAGGUUUUGAUUGCCGGUGAUUUCGGGCCGAGCAAAAAGGAGUCAGUUAACGAGUUUGGGAUGUAUUUUCAACGUGUUGAGGUAGGGGCGCUUUCCAAAAACU
Molecule: non-coding RNA, 296 nt
Organism: Arachis ipaensis
Lineage: Eukaryota; Viridiplantae; Streptophyta; Magnoliopsida; Fabales; Fabaceae
Source: RefSeq, a predicted model, not a curated record